CAGUAGCCGCGGUAAUACAGAGGAUGCAAGCGUUAUCCGGAAUUAUUGGGCGUAAAGCGCGCGCAGGCGGAUAGGUCAGCCUGUCUUAAAAGUUCGGGGCUUAACCCCGUGAUGGGAUGGAAACUGCCAAUCUAGAGUAUCGGAGAGGAAAGUGGAAUUCCUAGUGUAGCGGUGAAAUGCGUAGAUAUUAGGAAGAACACCAGUGGCGAAGGCGACUUUCUGGACGAAAACUGACGCUGAGGCGCGAAAGCCAGGGGAGCGAACGGGAUUAGAUACCCCUGUAGUCCCUGUCUCUUAUACA
This 301-nucleotide ribosomal RNA is filed under the name uncultured bacterium. Its description in RNAcentral is "partial 16S ribosomal RNA". It matches the Rfam family "Bacterial small subunit ribosomal RNA", at positions 509 to 809 of the family's 1533-position model. The record is from RNAcentral.